GGGUUGGGGGGGGAAAGAGGGAUGCUGCGACCCCGCGGCCUAACGCAGAGCUGCCUGCUCCGCUGCCACCCAGCUCUCUUUUUUAUUUCUUCCCUUCCUUUUUCACGCUUUUUGAUUUUUGUUCCAAUUUUUUUCUUCACCUCUUUAGCCAGAGGGGUGCCUGGGAGCCCAUCGCCACCCCUCACCCCCUUUCCCUGCCCUUCACCUCCCAUCCCUUCUUCUCCCAUCCCUUCUUCUCCCAUCCCUUCUCUUCUCCCAUCCCUUCUCUUCUCCCAUCCCUUCUCCCUUCUCUUCUCCCAUCCCUUCUCUUCUCCCAUCCCUUCUCCCAUCCCUUCUCCCAUCCCUUCUCCCAUCCCUUCUCCCAUCCCUUCUCCCAUCCCUUCUCCCAUCCCUUCUCCCAUCCCUUCUCCCAUCCCAUCCUUUCUCCCAUCCCAUCCUUUCUCCCAUCCCAUCCUUUCUCCCAUCCCAUCCUUUCUCCCAUCCCUUCCUUCUCCCAUCCCUUCCUUCUCCCAUCCCUUCUCCCAUCCCUUUGCAGCUGGAGGCCAACCCGCCCUGCAUCCCUCCAUCCCCGACCCUCUGCCCCAGUGCUCCCAGCAGCCCCGCGCGCAGACCCUCACCUCCGGGACGGCACCCACAGGAAGAACAUCAACAGGAGUUUGGGGUCCCUGGGACGACUCUUUGCACCCUGACCCCCCCUGGGGUGCUGCAGGUAUUUGGGGGCAGCCCCCCACCCCCCCCUUUCCUUCCUGGGCUCAUAGCCCAGCGGGUGCGGAUGCCGCAAGGAGCCCGCCGUGCCGUGCCGUGCCGUGCCGUGCCGUGCCGCGCCAAUAAAGCUCUUUUCGCUGCGGGUCUCCCGCAUCCUCUCCUUUGUUUGCCGAGGUUUCUCUUCCAGCGGCGGAGGCAGGACCCGCACUCAGCACCAGGUGGGGGGGAUGAAUAUUAAAAUUUCCCCCCCAACCCAAAAUAAAUAAAAAAAAAAACCUAAAAAACCUCA
Molecule: long non-coding RNA, 994 nt
Filed under: Calidris pugnax (ruff)
Lineage: Eukaryota; Metazoa; Chordata; Aves; Charadriiformes; Scolopacidae
Description: lncRNA (ENSCPUG00000006493.1)
Source: RNAcentral